Corythoichthys intestinalis (scribbled pipefish) is the source of this 427-nucleotide long non-coding RNA. RefSeq lists it as uncharacterized. The transcript has 3 exons. NCBI's taxonomy places the organism in Eukaryota, Metazoa, Chordata, Actinopteri, Syngnathiformes, Syngnathidae. The record is from RefSeq and is a predicted model, not a curated record.
GGCGCCGCGGCAGUCGGGAAAUAUUUCCAAAUAGAAAUCCCGUCGAUUAAAAUCAAUGGCUACAUGCAAGAUUUGCGGCCUGAAAGUUUGGAGAUGUGGAUUUAAAUCGGUCAGUUUCAAUACCUCGAACUUGAUAAAACAUUUGAAGACGAAACGUGAAUGAACACAACGAGUUUGAGCCUGCAAGAGCAGGACUGCUAUCCAGAGGAAGAAGGCCGCUGGACCGGAGCAACAAUCUCUGGAAUCUGUUUGCAUUUUUCACUGGUCACGUGAGUUUUCUCCAGGAACUCCAGCUUCCGACUAUACCUGGUUAUGAACGAGUUCUGUUCUUACGCUGGCGACGUAACCCGAAUUUCAGCCAUUGGGUCUGGCUGGACGGUCGCCUUGUAUGACUGAGGAGCAGACUCGUCUCAUAUGGAUAAAGGAC